RNAcentral lists this long non-coding RNA (593 nucleotides) under Capsella rubella. Its description in RNAcentral is "long non-coding RNA (CRUB_LNC003334)". Lineage: Eukaryota; Viridiplantae; Streptophyta; Magnoliopsida; Brassicales; Brassicaceae. The record is from RNAcentral.
UUGUAAAAAUCGUAUUGUUUAACACUUCGUUGAAGUUACACCACUCGUGUAACUGAAGGUCUGAAUCAUAUUUUCAACAAAAUACCUAAUCUCGGGAUCAAUUUCCAAUACCAAACUACAUGAAGACCUACAGUCCAAUGAUCUUGACGUAGUUCUUGAAUGAUCUGCACCCAAGUGUGAACACAGUAGGAGAGUUCGAGUCUGAGUGACAAACGAGAUAGAUCAGGCAAUUCACUAGCAUGCAAGAGAGCCAAACAAAAGCUGCUUUUGCUCCUAGAUGAGUUUCUCAUAUUAUAUCUAAACUUAGAAAAUGAAUACGUAAGACAACUUUGUCUUCAUACACUUGCACACAAGGACUUAAAUUCCAGAGGACUAAUCGAACAUCAUCAUUCAUCCAUAGACACCAUUGUUUUUACUUUUAGGUACGAAUGAAAAAAGCUUGAGAUCAACAAUGGAGAAAGCCCCUCAAAAGUACAGGCUUUUUGAGAGUAUUAGAAGAAGGUUCCUUCAGGAGGUUGAACAAGCUUCCGGUUAUGCGAUGCAGCCAUCUCCUUCUUCAAAUGAGUCAGUAUGUCCUCCAUUGUGUACUCCCU